RNAcentral lists this long non-coding RNA (245 nucleotides) under Eucalyptus grandis. RNAcentral describes it as "long non-coding RNA (EGRA_LNC005756)". Lineage: Eukaryota; Viridiplantae; Streptophyta; Magnoliopsida; Myrtales; Myrtaceae. The record is from RNAcentral.
AUCGAGAUAAUUGGUUUACAUCUAGCAUCUAUUAUCCUCCCAUUGAAUGCUUCGCAGAUGUUGUUAUCAAUGUUAUCGCACUUGAAUUUCUCGCUGAAGAACGCCCUACACCAAUGCUUCGGGUCUGUUUGGAACAGUGCAUCAUAACCAUCAUUUGUCAAUUGAAGCAUCUUUUCUUUGGCCGUCCUAAAGUCGGCCAUAUUCGUGCUCUUUGCUAGCUGCCAAAAUUGCGACUGCAAUUUGUC